This is a non-coding RNA of Pantherophis guttatus, 677 nucleotides long. The record is from RefSeq and is a predicted model, not a curated record. Lineage: Eukaryota; Metazoa; Chordata; Lepidosauria; Squamata; Colubridae.
AAUGGGACAGAGGCAGAAACCCAAUCCUUUGUCAAAGGACAUUUGCAACACAAUAGCAACAGAAACUAACACAAUGGGACCCAUCUAGAUGAGGCUCACCACAUGGCACCUGGGAAGAUUGCAUCAGCCAGCAAGACCCCCACCCCCUGGGAGUCUGACAACCAAUCAGGAUACUCUUUUGGGGCCCCAAGAAAUGCAGAGCCAGGGAGAGCAUAAAAACCCGAGGAUUUUCUGUAUCUGCCCUUUUUCUGUUCAGGAACUCAAGCCAUGUGAUCCUGUCCACCAUUAAACCAUCUUUCCAAGCAGUCUCCAUGUUUCCAGUGUCUGUUUCCCCACUUGGAGCAGAACCUAGAAGGAUGUUUCUUCCAACAGGAUGAAAGGAUGAUUCCAGAUGAGCUGAUCUGCUGCUCCUGAAUAGACAAGCCACGAGAUACUGACCAAGGAACCAUGGCUGAAUCUCCCUGAAACACUCCAAAGCCUUUCCACAUCUUGAACCUUCCACAGUGACUAUCCAUCUACUUUCAAAAAAACCCCAACAGAGUUGAGAAGUGGAUUUUCCUCCAGAGAUCUUCCUUGGUCCCUGGCAUUUGGAGGCUGGCUACUUUUCAUCCUAGAGCCUCGCCCAGCUCUCUGGAGUGGGAAAAGAAGAGCACCACCACUUAAUUGCUAAUAACAGG